Molecule: ribosomal RNA, 1309 nt
Filed under: Triticum aestivum (bread wheat)
Lineage: Eukaryota; Viridiplantae; Streptophyta; Magnoliopsida; Poales; Poaceae
Description: partial small subunit ribosomal RNA
Source: RNAcentral
GUGUUGUGCAUGUAUGUUCCAAUUUACUCCUAAGAGUAAAUUGCUACAUUAUUUAUGGAAGGAGGGAGUAGGAUCCACCACAGCAGCCUAAGCUAGGCAAGCUUCAACGGAGAUGAGAUCUCAGAACUUUAUUCUUUAUCCAAAGGUAAUGUAAUCAUCAGGCUAGCCAGAGGUUCCAUAUUUGAUAUACAAAUACUCCUUAAGCACUCAGGCCUUGGUUCUGGUUUCUUCUAAUCUUGCGAUGUCCAAACAUAAGCACUACAAUUCACACAUAAGUUAUGUUCAGAUCCAAAUAAAUAUUCGCAUGAUGAUGUCUACAGCAAACCACCAGGCAUUAAAGGUGGGCAGCCUCAAACUGAUACCAAACACUACUUAAACAAGUAUACCAUGAAUCUAGUGGGGGCAUUCACCCGAUCUGCCAAAGCCUUCAUAACUUUUGCUUCUACACAUCCAUUCCCGGAGCCCAUUCAGCCUGCUUCGUGCGUAUGUAUGUGUGUGUGUGUGCGCGAGAUGCAUGCAUGCAUGCAUCUUGCAUGUUGGGGGUUUUGCAAUUUACUCCUGAGAGAAACCCAGCCAAGAAACAAACGCCAUGACAGGUCAAGCACGGCGACCAAGCGGGCUUCAACGGAGAAAUGGAUUCAGAUCUCCGUUCUCAAGGAUAAUCAUCAGGCUGGCAGUUCAGUGCAACAACGAGGUGCCAAGUUAAAAGGAAUUCAUUGUGAAAUGGUCAUACUGUAUUGAACGCUGCUACAGGCAGCUAAAUCAAAACAACAAAAGGGCAAACCAAAAAUGCAAGAACAAGCAAGUGAAGUGAAAAUAGCAUCGGAGAUUCCCCUAGACGGAUGCAUCAUCCGCGCCCCCGAUUUGAAAUCAGGAGCGCUGCAGAGUCCCUGUCUUGCUUAUCGUCAUAUGCUAAAAAAAAUUAUGCUGAUUUUUUCUGUUCACGAGGCGAAACACUCCACCCAACUUAUGCAGAAACAAAGAUGGCGCGGAUAGCAUCGGAGAUUUCCCAUAGACGGAUGCAUCAUUCGCGACCCGCGAUAUGAAAUCGGGGGCGCUGCAGAGUCCCUGUCUUGCUUGUCGUCAUCUGCCAACUCUGCUGGCGCGGCGAAACCCUAGUCCUCUUUUACAAAUGAAGACCCAGCAACACCAAAGGAAGGAAAGCGAAGAAGGCAUUGAAGCAGAAAGAGAAGAAGCUGAGAAAUGCAGGGAGAAGGAGAUGGAUCGAAGAACCAUGGGGGAUUCGAGGUCAGAUGGCUAAUGGCUGGUGUGAUUUCGCAUGGAGGGGGGGAUUACGGCUGGAGACGAG